RNAcentral lists this ribosomal RNA (483 nucleotides) under uncultured bacterium. RNAcentral describes it as "bacterial SSU rRNA". It matches the Rfam family "Bacterial small subunit ribosomal RNA", at positions 30 to 507 of the family's 1533-position model. The record is from RNAcentral.
UUGAACGCUGGCGGCAGGCCUAACACAUGCAAGUCGAGCGGUAGAGAGGUGCUUGCAUCUCUUGAGAGGCGGCGGACGGGUGAGUAAUGCCUAGGAUCUGCCUGGUAGUGGGGGACAACGUUUCGAAAGGAACGCUAAUACCGCAUACGUCCUACGGGAGAAAGCAGGGGACCUUCGGGCCUUGCGCUAUCAGAUGAGCCUAGGUCGGAUUAGCUAGUAGGUGAGGUAAUGGCUCACCUAGGCGACGAUCCGUAACUGGUCUGAGAGGAUGAUCAGUCACACUGGAACUGAGACACGGCCCAGACUCCUACGGGAGGCAGCAGUGGGGAAUUUUGGACAAUGGGCGCAAGCCUGAUCCAGCAAUGCCGCGUGCAGGAUGAAGGCCUUCGGGUUGUAAACUGCUUUUGUACGGAACGAAACGGUGAGCUCUAAUACAGUUUGCUAAUGACGGUACCGUAAGAAUAAGCACCGGCUAACUACGUG